AUAGACAGAGGACGAAGAAAAGUAAUCAAAAGAACAUUGAGACAGAAAGAAAAAUUUUCUUUCAUACUCCAUCUAAAAAUUACACCUAGAAGACAUUUAGUUCGUUAUAAUCACACUUUGAUUCUAAGAGAUUCAAAAUAAACUUGGUGCAAAUUCUUUCGAUAGCAAAAUCAACUCCUUUCGCUGCAACGUAUUAAGGUAUACACUAAUUUUAAUCCUAUCUUUAUAUCAAUGGUAUCAAAUUCAGCUUAAAAAUGCUCUAUCUCUGAAUGGUAAUUUCUUGAUACAGUGAGAAAAUUUCUUGAAAUUAAUUGAAUAGUAAUUUCUUGAUAUCAAGUGAGAAAAUUUCUUGAAAUUAAUUGUUAAAGAGCUUGAAAAUACCUGUUAAAGAGCAUAGAUGGUCAGAACAAAAUCAGGGAGUAUGAAUCCGACAUAAAUUGGAAUACCAACCCUUGAUUUGUGGCGGGUUACACUAUAAAUGCAUUUCAGAUUUGGUUAUUUUUCUUUUUUCAUCGUUUCUCCAUAGAACUGUCAAAGAACUUUGAUCAUAAUAAAAAAAAGGGGGACUUGUGGAAGAAAUGAAGAAGAAGAUUAAAAGUGUACUCUUUUUUUUUCUUUGUUAACAAAGUAAAGGAAAGAGAAAGGUUUUUUGACUUUGUGAUGUUGUACACGUACACAAGAAUAGUCUAGAGAAAGUGCUUCCUAGAAAAAAGUGUAAUAAUUUUAGUAAUAUUUUUAUUUCAUUUCCUCUAAAUGUUCCACAACUUUUCUUUUUUGAUUAAGAAUAAGUAUUUAGAGUUAUUAAAUGAAACUAUAAAAGUGGCUUAAAUAAGUAUAUGAAUUAGACUUGAUAUUUUUGUCUUAAUCAAUUCCUAUAUUUUUCUAAAUUGAUUUUGCCUUUUACAAUAAAUUGUGACAUAAAAGGUCACAUUGAGUGGGUCCACCAUUUUUAUUGUUUCUUUGUUUCUAUUUCAGACAUGGCUAAACGGGGACAAACUCAAAUCACUCUAAGUGGGGGUUCUGGAUGUCGAACAAAGAGAUAAAGUGGAAGACCACGCCGUCAAAGGACAUGUUUUUUAGGUCGUGAGAUCAUACAAAAUGGUGUCCCCAGGAUGACACAAAAUCUGUUAUGGAAUGAGAGGGCUAUAGAAGGAAAAGAGAGAAGAAACUAAAAGAGUUCAAGCCUUUUAACAUGUCACCUAGUAUUACGGUUGCGAAAUUUAUUCAUUUAUUUGAAUUAAAACGUGUAGAACCGAAAAACUAUGUAGAAAUCUCAAAUUGGGAAGCAUUAGCUAUUUAAACAAAUUUUCUCCGUGAUCUGUGAGGCAAGAGAUUAAUUAAUGUUUACCAAGAGUUUGGCCUAGCGAGCCUUUUUGGGUGUAUAUAAGUCGUCUCGAGUAUUUGUGGGAUGACUUUUAUCUUUAAAUUGACUUGUAACUUGAAGUUCUUUAUUAACUUUAUAUUAUAAAUAUGUUAG
Molecule: long non-coding RNA, 1477 nt
Filed under: Capsicum annuum
Lineage: Eukaryota; Viridiplantae; Streptophyta; Magnoliopsida; Solanales; Solanaceae
Description: long non-coding RNA (CANN_LNC019517)
Source: RNAcentral